This 2843-nucleotide long non-coding RNA is filed under the name Sus scrofa (pig). RNAcentral describes it as "lncRNA (ENSSSCG00050051600.1)". The record is from RNAcentral. Lineage: Eukaryota; Metazoa; Chordata; Mammalia; Artiodactyla; Suidae.
GCGCUGCCCUCGCCUCCCCCAUUGUUCCGACUGUCUUUUUGCCUUUUGUUAUUUGCACUCGCAUUGUGUUGUUUGUCUCCGAAGCCGCCUCAUGACCAGCAAAGGGAUUUCACCUCGUCCUUGAGAGCUACACGGGGAGCGCGAGCGAGCGACGGGGGGGAGAGGGACGCGCGCGCGCGCGCGCACACACACACACACACACACGGACACACACAGACACAGAGACACACAUACACACACAGUGAAAAAGGCGAGCCACCAAAACCCAUCUCCAGUCUCCUCCCGGGGGCCCCCGGCCCGCCGCUGUGCCACUUUGCAUCCCACGCCGGAGGAGACGUUGAGGAGAGCCGGUAAGGGCCUUAUCCUGCUACAAGUCUAAACAAGUCCUUGAAAUAAUUGUGGAAAAGCAGAAUCCAAAUUCAUCACAGGUAUAAAUCUUUUCACUACCCAGAAAGACCUGGAAUGGUGUUUUCUAUAGCACACUUUGCUUACCAUUUUCUCCUUUCACAUUUGUAUUUAUAUUCAUGAUUUCAGCACAUCACGUUUUCAAGACAAUAGAAAAAAAAAGGAGAAGUCAUGCUUUUAAGCUUGUACCAUGCCAUUGAAUUUCUUUGAAAGGACAACAAGUGUGUUUAUUUUAUCACUGUGAGUCUAAAAAUUAACCGUGAAACAUCAUUCUCUACUUCUAAACUAUGUGUAACAAAGAAAUGCUUUAUUGCAACUUCAUCAAUAAUUCAAAUGCAACUUAAAAGAAAGUAGGGCAGCAUAAGAAAAAAAAAGCACACUUGUUCCAUAAUUGAGUCGAUUAAAUAGUAUUGAAUCUUAUUGUCAUAUUCAUAUUGAUGAAACAACUUCCAUAACUACAAAGAGUCUAAUAAGAAAUAAGACCUUAGAAUUAUGAGACAAUGUCAUAGGCAUUUCUGUAUUUUUUUCUGUUGUAAAAGACAAAUAGUGAAAGCAAGCUUUUACUUGUGUAUGAUAAUGAACGAACAGCUUUUGAAAGGUCUCUUAUUGGGAUUUUAGUAGUUUUCAAGGCUGUGCAGUAAUAACCCAAGCUAUUUUGGAACUGUGCAUACAUUAGUGUUCUGGUGCUGCAUGAUACAAUAAUGUGUGAAAAAGUGUACGAUCACACCUUGUUUAAAUUUGCAGUUUUUGUGCAUAAUCCCAAUGAGCUCUUGUCAGGUUUUGACUGUAUAUAGGAGAAAAAAAGUUUAUAGAGGCCUAAGAUUGGGGUUGGAUUUAAAUAUAUGACUAUGAAAAUAAGAAUUUUUUAAAAUUGUACUUUUUUAAAGAUCAAAAGAGUUCAGUUUAUAUGUAACAUUUUGCAAAACAGCCUAUGGUUAGUUUGGCCCAGGAGAAGCUUCAGAAUGUGCAUAAAUAACCAUCUGAAUGAUAAUGUAUAUAUAUCUGCUCUCUUUUGUAUUUGCAAAAUAUGAGCGAAAAGUACAGAGUUUGAUUUUUAAAGACAAUGAUCACACUAUAUGCAUUCAUAUUAAUGUUGUUUUUCAGAUUUGUCACCCAGAGAAGCAAAACCCUGAUUCCAUUGAUGCCCUUGUUCAAAACAUUUUGGAAAACUUCCUCUCAGAAUUGUCUUUUGAAUCAUUUGCAAGCUUGACUAAAACAUCCAUCUCAUUACUUUCUAUUCGCAUUUUAUACCAAGAUUCAUCAUGCUUUUUUUUUUUAUUCACCAGAGUUGGCUAUAAAUGUCUCUCUGAAGUGAUGAAAAUGGCUAAAAUUGACUUUCAAAUUAUGAAAUUUGUCACCAUUGAGGAUAUUUAGAAAUGUGUAUGCAUGUGUGUGGUACAGACUUGGAAAGCAGUUUCAAAAGGAGAUGGAAAUACUGUGAGUAAUGGCUGAGCUUUAGGGUGAGUGAGUGGUAUUCUAAGGUAACCACUUUGAAGGGAAAGUACAUUUGGAUGACAUGGUGUGUUUGUUUAAAAACCAGUCACAUUACUUUUUAAUGACACUGUAUAUUAGUUUUUAUAGCAUAUACAAAGAGAAAUGCAAAUAUGUCUUUUGGAAUGCAAGGCCAAAAUGUCUUACACAAUUAGUAGCAUAUUUUAUUAGUAAGACAAUUAAAGGAUUAAGCAACUAACAUGUUAAUCCUGUGUAGGCAGAUUCUUCAGAUAAUGGUCUUUACAUGGGAUAUCUCUGUAUAAUUUUAUUUUAGUUAAAUACUGUCAUUUAAUGUCUGAUUUGUAAGUAUGUGUUUCCAUUGGCAUCUUGGGUUAAUGUGUACUUCAUUUCAUGUCAUUUGAAGGUACUAGUUGAUAACAUUUGACAUUUUUGUUUCAGUUGACCUCUUCCUAUAAGUAAUUGACCCAGUUGUUAGAACUAUUAUUGCUUAUUUUUUAACUAUCAGUAAAGAAACACAAAUAGUUACAUGUGCUUGAAAUGUAGAGUCAUUGAAGUCUAAGUAUUUUCUUAGUUUAGAGGAAAUAUGUGGUCAUUCAGUACAAUUCACAGAAUGUUUAUGUGUGGAAUGAUUUACGAAUAAAAUGAAAAUCAAGUAGUAAUCCAGAAUGUUCACCAUUUACCUCCAGUUUGAACAUCUUUAUUGUGCUCUUUCUUAAAUGGGUAGGAAGUAAAAGAAAUGAUUUCCAGAGAGACUUAGUUGAGUAGUUUUUAUUUUCUGAGCAUUAGAGUUGGUAUUAGUUCUGGAGUUCCCACUGUGGUGUAGUGGGUAAAGAAUCUGACUGCACUGGCUCAGGUCACUACUCAGGAGUGGGUUUGAUCCCCAGCCCAGUGCAGUGGGUUAAAGGAUCUGGCUCAGAUUCAGUCCCCGGCGUGGGACCUUCCAUAUGCUGUAGGUGCAGCCAUUAAAAAAAAAAAAAAAAAAAAAA